This 1352-nucleotide ribosomal RNA is filed under the name metagenome. RNAcentral describes it as "bacterial LSU rRNA". It matches the Rfam family "Bacterial large subunit ribosomal RNA", at positions 1549 to 2925 of the family's 2925-position model. The record is from RNAcentral.
UUGUUGACCCGGUCGUAAGGGAUCGAAAAUGAGUAGAGAAGUCAUCAUGGAAAGAGACAAGAAAAGCUGUAUGAAUAUCUUAGGUGCCCGUACCGCAAACCGACACAGGUAGAUAGGAAGAAGAUUCUAAGGCCAACGGGAGAAGGGUUGUUAAGGAACUCGGCAAGUUGACCCCGUAACUUAGGGAUAAGGGGUGCUCAAGUGAUUGAGCCGCAGAGAAUAGGCCCAGGCGACUGUUUAGCAAAAACACAGGUCUCUGCUAAAUCGAAAGAUGACGUAUAGGGGCUGACACCUGCCCGGUACCGGAAGGUUAAGAGGAGAUGUGAGAGCAUUGAAUUGAAGCCCCGGUAAACGGCGGCCGUAACAAUAACGGUCCUAAGGUAGCGAAAUUCCUUGUCAGGUAAGUUCUGACCCGCACGAAAGGUGUAACGAUCUGGGCACUGUCUCAACAACCCGCCCGGCGAAAUUGUAGUACCGGUGAAGAUGCCGGUUACCCGCGACUAGACGGAAAGACCCCAUGGAGCUUUACUGUAGCCUAAUAUUGGAUUUCGGUAUUUCACGUACAGGAUAGGUGGGAGACUGGGAAGCACAGGCGUCAGCUUGUGUGGAGUCGACCUUGGGAUACCACUCUUGGAGUGCUGGAAUUCUAACCUGCGGCUUUGAAGCAAGUCGGGGGACAUUGUUAGGUGGGCAGUUUGACUGGGGCGGUCGCCUCCUAAAGAGUAACGGAGGCGCUCAAAGGUUCGCUCUGCAUGGAUGGAAACCAUGCGUCAGAGUGUAAACGCAAAAGCGAGCCUAACUGCGAGAAUGACGGUUCGAGCAGUAACGAAAGUUGGAGUUAGUGAUCCGGCGGUAUGUGAAUGGAAAUGCCGUCGCUCAACGGAUAAAAGCUACCCUGGGGAUAACAGGCUGAUCUCCCCCAAGAGUCCACAUCGACGGGGAGGUUUGGCACCUCGAUGUCGGCUCAUCGCAUCCUGGGGCUGAAUUCGGUCCCAAGGGUUUGGCUGUUCGCCAAUUAAAGCGGUACGCGAGCUGGGUUCAGAACGUCGUGAGACAGUUCGGUCCCUAUCUGUCGUGGGCGUAGGAUAUUUGCAAGGAGCUGUCCCUAGUACGAGAGGACCGGGAUGGACGCACCUCUGGUGCACCAGUUGUCACGCCAGUGGCACAGCUGGGCAGCUAUGUGCGGAACGGAUAAACGCUGAAGGCAUCUAAGCGUGAAGCCGCCCUUAAGAUAAGAUAUCCCUUCUGUUUACAGAGUAAGACCCCUUGAAGACUACAAGGUUGAUAGGCUCAAAGUGUAAGCACGGUGACGUGUUUAGCUAGCGAGUACUAAUCGGUCGAGGGCUUAACCU